UACAGAGGGUGAAAGCGUUAUCCGGAAUUACUGGGUUUAAAGGGUGCGUAGGCGGCUUGAUAAGUCAGAGGUGAAAGCCUAUCGCUUAACGAUAGAAUUGCCUUUGAUACUGUAAAGCUUGAAAGGGGUUGAGGUCAGCAGAAUGUGGCAUGUAGCGGUGAAAUGCAUAGAUAUGCCAUAGAACACAGAUUGUGAAGGUAGCUGGCGGGGACUACUAUGACGUUGAGGCAGGAAAGCGUGGGGAGCGAACAGG
RNAcentral lists this ribosomal RNA (253 nucleotides) under uncultured bacterium. Its description in RNAcentral is "partial 16S ribosomal RNA". It matches the Rfam family "Bacterial small subunit ribosomal RNA", at positions 524 to 776 of the family's 1533-position model. The record is from RNAcentral.